This 2420-nucleotide long non-coding RNA is filed under the name Homo sapiens (human). RNAcentral describes it as "long independently transcribed non-coding RNA 1107 (LINC01107)". Lineage: Eukaryota; Metazoa; Chordata; Mammalia; Primates; Hominidae. The record is from RNAcentral.
UACUUCUGCUUUCCUUGGGUUUGUUUGUCUUUCAUUUCAAGUGAUUUCUUAAUUUCCUUUAACAGUUUUUAAACUGUGGAAUUAUUUUCUCAGUAUAGUCCAAGCUACAUCUAAUAAGCUCUAGCAUGUAACUUUUUCUUUUUUGUUCUUUUCUAAAUAUUGUGUCACUGCUGAUUUGGUUUUUCUCUUUUAUCCAUGAGAUGACUGUUUUAAGUUCCCAGGAAGCGAGUCUUCUUGUUCCAAUUUAUUCCUGAAUUUUUAUUUUGACUGUCAUUACACUGUAGUUAGGAGAUGUGACCUCUACUGUCUCCAGCAUUUAGAAUGUAUUGCGGAUCCAGGGACACAGCAAGUCAGGUGGGCUCUGUCGCAAGGAUGGUUACAACAUAGACUACUUCCAUGUCAGUCUUCCAUUAUUUGCAUACUCGAGACCCUGAUGUGUUGGCUAAUUUGCCAAGAAACCCCCGCAGCAGACUGCGUCCGCAGGGCAGGGCUGAGUAGCAGGGGCAGCACCUCUCACAGGGGCAGGGCCGCUUGCCCAGCCUUGAGGAAGGGGGACCCAGACAUUGCCUUUCUCAAUACUGAGCCCCUAAACAGGAUUUCUGGUCUGGGGUCUGGGACUAGGCUAUCUGGACAGUCAAACUCUUCCCACUGCGCCAUCAGCCCCACUAGGAAAGAAAGAGGAGAAAUUAGGGCUUUGCUUUAAAGAGUUCAACGGUCAGAAUAUGUCCCCCGCAAACGGACAUGCUGGAAUCCUCAUCCCCAAGUGAGGGCGGGGCCUCACAUUAGGAGGUGAUGAGGUCACAGAGGCAGAAACCUCACGAACGGGAUCAGGCUCAUCAAAGAGGCCUGAGAGACGACACCUACCAGCUGGAAGGCGGUUCCGCACCAGACACCGAAGCUGCUGGGCCUUCGACCUCGGACCUCCGUCUUCCAGAACUGUGAGCCACACAUUCCUGAUGCUCCUAAGCCACGCCGUGUACGGUAUUUUGUUACGGUAGCCCAAAUGGACCAAGAUAGGAGCUAAAGGUGCUUGUGAGAUUCCACGCAUCAUACUAGAGGUGUGAGCACUGCACCUAAGGGUGCCUCGGAUCAUCCCUGAGAUGCAGGCACUGCACCAGGAGGUGUCUUGGAUCAUUCCUGAGGUGUGAGCACAUCAUCAGAAGACCCUUUUGUCCAUGGGGUCCCAUUCUCACCUUCUGGAUACACAUCACUCUCGGGGCCGCCAUUCUACCUGCCUCAUCUGUGCGCGGCAGUCUGGACCUAGAAGCUCUGUCCCCUCUGCUGCCCAGUGGAGUCGAGUGCCUGGCACCCAACACCCAGACAGGGUGGCCACCAACCUGGUUGAGGGGACUGUCCCCAAGAUGAUCACAGAACAUCAGGCAGGGCUCCUGAGCCAGCGCCCCCCCCAAGCCUGCCUCGCUCCCAGUACGGCCGGAAGAGUAGCUGAGGCCAACCCCUGAAGCAGCCAAGGCGUCCUCUAUGCCCAGAAGUGCCAGGGAUCGGGGGCUGCCCAGUUCCAGACAGGGUCAUCACACUCCGACCUUCAGAGGGGCCCCCCGCCUGCCAGCUCCAGACAGGGCCAUCACACUCCCGAUCCACAGAGGGCCCCCCCACGCCUCCCAGCUCCUGACGGAAGCGCCUGUCCAGCUUCACCGACCUCCAUGCCGCUGCCUGGGGUCUUGCUCGAACGCAAGAGAACACGGGUCUCGUUGAGGGCUCCUCUGCCCCGCAUCUCCUGCUCCUGGACACCCAGGCCUGCCCUCACCACUGCUGCUGGACACCGGGCAGGGGUCCUGGCCACUCUUCUGGAAGGCCAGUCUGACGUUGCAGGCGCAGCCACUUCACUGUUUGUCCUUCACGGUAUGCCAGACUCCCUCCUCCCUGCAAGAGCCUCUCCCAGGGCCCAGUCCUCCCCCGAGAGGUGCUGAUGAGAGUGGAGUAUGGAACCAUCUGCCAGCCAACCCCAGGUGGCCUCUCGGGGGUGCCCUGCCCCACAGGGCCAUGCACGGUGUGGCCCUCCCCGGUGCUGUCACGUCUGAAUGUGGCCCUGCAGACUUGCCCCCACUGGGCUGGAGCACAUCCCCUGGAAUCUGAUCCCAGGAGCUCCGGGAGCAGCUCGCACACAGCUCCAUGGAUGCCCCUCACAGUGGGAGAGACAGGAAAGGCCAGCUCCGAGUCUCACACCUCACUCUUCAAGCUGGGAAAAUGAUGCUGUUACCUUGGGAGGUGAGACCCUCCAGAUGGGAACCUCGACGCUGGGAGCUGGUGUGUUCCCGGAAUUCGGGGGAAUAUUUCAUUCCCUGCGUAUGGUGUCUGGACUUUCAGAUCCCUCCUCCCAGGCACCCAGGCAUCAUUUCACAACCCCAUGCUCAGCAAGCCCCAGAGAAAACUCCUCAAUAAACUACGAGUGUUAAUACCCG